CCCCACUUACGUCCGCCAGACACCGCUGAUCGUUGGCUUACACCGACUGUGUUUCCAGGUUUGUCAGUACAGUAUCCGUGUUGCUUGGUGUGACAGCUGUUCCUUAUCUGGGAGAGUGAUCAAUGUGUUCACCACUCGUUAGGUUUGUUCAAAUACAAUGAUCUUUGGACCUACCCAAAAUGAUUCAGGUUCCUGCCUAUUAUCACCGACUGGCUUUUUAAUGGUGUCGGCAAUGGUCGGACUAUAUCGAUAUUCACUUAAA
Molecule: long non-coding RNA, 262 nt
Organism: Haliotis rubra (blacklip abalone)
Lineage: Eukaryota; Metazoa; Mollusca; Gastropoda; Lepetellida; Haliotidae
Exons: 3
Source: RefSeq, a predicted model, not a curated record